GCUUGAUAAAAAACAUUUAACAGAUUGCAACUCCUUGUCACUUGCCUACCUUUCUUUCUUUCCUAUGCAUUGAUAUUGUAAUAUAAACUUGUCUUUGCAGUACUCUGAUCUCUGUUUAGGCAAAAUUCAAAUAUACUGUUUAUCCAGGACAAAUGGAGAGUGAACCAGUGAAUGUGAAUGAGUUUCAAGAGUUGGCUAGGCAAGCCCUUCCAAAGAUGUAUUAUGAUUUACUAUGCUGGAGGAGCUGAGGACCAGCACACACUGAAGGAGAAUGUGGAAGCAUUUCGUAGGAUCACGUUCCGACCUAGAAUUCUUGUAGAUGUGAGUCAAAUAGAUAUGUCAACUACCAUAUUGGGUUACAGAAUCUCUGCACCCAUUAUGCUUGCUCCAACUGCUUAUCAUCAGCUUGCAAACCCUGAAGGUGAGUUGGCCACAGCAAGAGCUGCAGCAGCGUGUAACACAAUUAUGAUUUUAUCAUACAUGUCUUCCUGCACAGUGGAGGAGGUUGCUUCCAGCUGCAAUGCCAUUCGAUUCUUUCAAUUAUAUAUGUACAAGAGACGAGAUAUAUCGGCCCAGCUAGUGCAGAGAGCUGAAAGAAAUGGAUACAAGGCUAUUGUCCUAACGGUUGAUGCUCCCAUACUUGGCCGAAGGGAGGCAGACAUUAAGAACAAGAUGGCUGUACCACAGUUGAGGAAUUUUGAAGGUCUCCUUUCAUUUGAAGUUUCCUCGGAUGAAGGUUCAAAGCUUGGACUUUUUGCCAAAGAGACUUUUGAUCCUUCUUUUUCGUGGAAGGACAUAGGCUGGUUAAGAUCCAUUACAAACUUGCCAAUUCUUAUUAAGGGUGUACUUACUCGAGAAGAUGCAAUAAAGGCUGUGGAAGUUGGUGUUGCUGGGAUUGUUGUCUCAAAUCAUGGAGCUCGGCAGCUUGAUUAUAGUCCAGCCUCUAUCACUGUUCUGGAGGAGGUGGUUCAUGCUGUUGGAGGGAAAAUUCCUGUUCUAUUUGAUGGAGGAGUACGGAGGGGAACUGAUGUUUUCAAGGCCUUAGCCCUUGGCGCACAAGCUGUUCUUGUUGGAAGGCCAGUUGUCUUCGGGCUGGCAGCAAAGGGAGAAUAUGGAGUGAGACGGG
RNAcentral lists this unclassified non-coding RNA (1126 nucleotides) under Hevea brasiliensis (rubber tree). The record is from RNAcentral. Lineage: Eukaryota; Viridiplantae; Streptophyta; Magnoliopsida; Malpighiales; Euphorbiaceae.